This 72-nucleotide transfer RNA is filed under the name Candidatus Woesearchaeota archaeon. Its description in RNAcentral is "tRNA-Val". It matches the Rfam family "tRNA". From Rfam's summary of the family: Transfer RNA (tRNA) molecules are approximately 80 nucleotides in length. Their secondary structure includes four short double-helical elements and three loops (D, anti-codon, and T loops). Further hydrogen bonds mediate the characteristic L-shaped molecular structure. tRNAs have two regions of fundamental functional importance: the anti-codon, which is responsible for specific mRNA codon recognition, and the 3' end, to which the tRNAs corresponding amino acid is attached (by aminoacyl-tRNA synthetases). tRNAs cope with the degeneracy of the genetic code in two manners: having more than one tRNA (with a specific anti-codon) for a particular amino acid; and 'wobble' base-pairing, i.e. permitting non-standard base-pairing at the 3rd anti-codon position. Lineage: Archaea; Nanobdellati; Candidatus Woesearchaeota. The record is from RNAcentral.
GGGCCCGUGGUCUAGCGGUAUGACGUCUCGUUGACGUCGAGAAGGUCGCCAGUUCGAAUCUGGCCGGGCCCA